RNAcentral lists this long non-coding RNA (103 nucleotides) under Ornithorhynchus anatinus (platypus). RNAcentral's name for it is "lncRNA (ENSOANG00000041706.1)". The record is from RNAcentral. Lineage: Eukaryota; Metazoa; Chordata; Mammalia; Monotremata; Ornithorhynchidae.
UUUUGAGAUAGAUGAUAAUAUUUUUGAAUGCAGUACUGGAAAGAAGAGAGGAGACAGUACACGUUGACACCGCAGAUGCAGACGCUUUGAACUCCAGAAGGAA